AAGUAGUAAACAGGCACCCUUGUCAGACAUAGUGGCUCCCAACUCGUUAGUUGUCAGGGCAUGUUACAACACGCCAACUUCAGACACCCUGGCGCCACUGUCCAUCACACGCCAACUUCAGACACCCUGGCGCCACUGUCCAUCACACUGUGCUGCGUGGACUAUAUAAGAUGCGCACAAACAUCGAGGAAAACACAGCACACAUCAGACGGGGACUCCAUGCAACACCUGCUUCUCAUCAGUGAAUAUUUGGAUCCGUUUCUCUCUCUCUUUCAUUUCUUUCUUGCUUUCUAUCUUUCUAUCGCGGACGUGUCAGGAUCCAACGUCCAUCAUUCGUGCCGUGUGUGCAUUCCGUGCGUCCUUGAAUUACAACCACGGUUUACACUGUUGCUCAUGAGUGGACAUCCAUUAAUUCCUGUUCUAACCGGACAGCCUGUGCUGUAUACCUGAUCCAGUGUCCCUCUUAUACAGUCCUUUACCCUGUCCAUCACCGGACACCCAUUUUUAUACCGAUGCUCAGAAAUAUUGCAGAGAGAAUUACACUGAUCUCGCCAGGACAAUGAUAACAUUUUAACAUAGCCUAUGGAAAUCCAAAGUUUACACAUUAUCAUCACGCACAGAAAUUGCAAAACUAGUUUUAAAACCGCUAAGUUCCAACUGUUAAACAUGGCGAGAGGCUGGGCUACGUGUGUGUGUGUAAAGUGUAAACCAGUGCAUCCUGACUUUCUAACUAUGCCUGUGUGUUGCGUGAGCGGCAGUCAGUCAACAACUCUUCGCAAAGUUUCCUUAUGAAACAAUAUGCUCGCUGAAAUUAUGGCAGGGACCGCCAGAUUAAACAUUAAAACUGCCUUCUGAGCACUGUAUCUACAGGCUGCCACCGAAAGAAGGAGGCUACCAGAAAGGCAUCUCUACUCCGUACGAUUUUACUUUCACUACGACAUUACUUUGAACAGACUAUCAAAAAAUUGCAAGGUGAUAUGAUAAAGUAAGGCACAGUUUACUUACAGUCGGUUUUUUUUUUUUUUUUGAAAAAAACGAUGCAAUCGUUUUCUGCCUUUUGGCACCCUUCAUCAUGCCGUGUUGGGGUCCUGAACUAGGAGGUGCUGUCCCCGAUAUGCCUGUCAAACUUGUUAUGGGUAACCAUAGCAACCAAGCUCGAGCUCGCAACCCGUGCAGUCUGCGCAGUUGCAACUAUGUAUGUACUGUUGUGCACCUCAAUAAACCGAAUGGUAAUUAGUCUUUUGAUUUUUCUGUGAGGUUUGCCUUAUGCAAAGAAAGACAGCAUAGACGUUUUUUCCUCCCUAUAAGUGGGGGGGACCGAACGAGGUGAAUUUAAAUCUGGGUGGGACGAAUCCCCCCCGUCCCCCCCUCUAUCUGCGCCCGUGCUCUUGCCCAUAGUCAGCUGGGAUGGGCUCCAGCUUGCCUGCAACCCUGCAUAGCAUAAGUGGUUACAGAUGAUGGAUCUGAUGCAAAUCUGAUUAACUGUCCACAUUAUGUAUUGCAUGUGAUCAGAUCUGAUCUAGGUGUCAAUCCUGAUUUUCAGUCUUAUUCACAUUGGUUGCUAUAGUAAUGACACUGCCUGUGGAAAUAAUGACCUUGCACCUGAAAAUAUAUUGUUGACAUUAACAAACCAAAAUGGACAGUCAUGAAAUGGGCUAGCUUAUUUACCACGUGGCAAUGCUUGUAGAGCCGCAGCACAGGUUUUAUAACUAUAAUGAGACUGCGUCAGAGACAGAGGACAAUUGCCUGCUCCGUUUUGUUUCAUGCACCACCAAACUAGCGUCCCUGCAAACACGUACAGUUGGGGCCCGCAUGGGUCUCAUCUGGGCUAGUUGGGCUUCGGGUGGGCAUGGGCUUCGAGUGGGCUUUGUUGCUGGGCCCCACAUGGGCAAUGGGUGGGCAUUGAAUGGGCUAAAUUAACAUGGGCAAUAGGUGGGCUUUGUUGUUGGGCCCCACAUGGGCAGUUGGUGGGCAUUAAAUGGGCUAUUUAGCAUGGGCAAUAAGUGGGCUUUGUUGUUGGAGCCCAUAUGGGCAAUGGGUGGGCAUUGAAUGGGCUAAAUUAACAUGGGCAGUAGGUGGGCUUUGUUGUUGGGCCUCACAUAGGCAGUUGGUGGGCAUUAAAUGGGCUAUUUAGCAUGGGCAAUAAGUGGGCUUUGUUGUUGGAGCCCAUAUGGGCAAUGGGUGGGCAUAGAAUGGGCUAAAUUAACAUGGGCAAUAAGUGGGCUUUGUUGUUGGGCCCCACAUGGGCAGUUGGUGGGCAUUAAAUGGGCUAUUUAGCAUGGGCAAUAAGUGGGCUUUGUUGUUGGAGCCCAUAUGGGCAAUGGGUGGGCAUUGAAUGGGCUAAAUUAAGCAUGGGCAGUAAGUGGGCUCCAGCAAGGCUCCAUUUCAAUUCAAUUCAAAAACACAAGAAUUUUACUCCCACACCUCUAAGAUGCCAUAACAUAAUAUAAACAAUACAAUGUUAAUUACAAUUGAAAAUAAAAUUUCUCAAUUUUAGAGCAUAAAAGAUAAAGUUUGCUACAACCUAAAGCACACAUAUUCCGAGCACAACAAAGUUUGCAAUAACUGAAAAGAAAGCAGGCAUAUUCCAGUGCAACUCCUGCAGGAUAACAAAAGCAAGAAGCAAUGCAAACUGGGAAAUCUCCACCCCCUGUGAAAUGGAUACAUUUCGCGCAGUUUCUGCUGCUUGCUGACUGGUUUUUGUCUCUGCUGCCUGUGAAGAGAAGAGUGCACGCACGAGUUGGAUCACUUAACAAAAGCAACAUAUGAAAGUGCACAUGCAAAAUUAUUGCAAGAGGAACGUAGACAUACUGACGUAAGUACAGAGCCUGAGUGUUCGGACAGUAUGGGCCGGGGGAAGCGAAAAAAGCGGUGAGUCUAUUUGAAUUUUAUAUAUAUAAUAUGGUAUAUACACAGUGUUUACUGUAUAUUAACUAAGUCGGCGUGUCGUCACUGUCGCGUUGCCAAAGUACUGCUACAGUGCCUAUACAAAGUCUACACACCCCUGUUCAAAUGUCAAGUUUUUGUGAUGUAAAAAAAUAACAAAGACAAAUAAUUUCACAACCUUUUUCACAUUUAAUAAAAAUGAUAACAUGUACAAUGCAAUUG
This is a long non-coding RNA of Neoarius graeffei (lesser salmon catfish), 3108 nucleotides long. RefSeq lists it as uncharacterized. The record is from RefSeq and is a predicted model, not a curated record. NCBI's taxonomy places the organism in Eukaryota, Metazoa, Chordata, Actinopteri, Siluriformes, Ariidae. The transcript is spliced from 3 exons.